This 446-nucleotide ribosomal RNA is filed under the name Geobacillus sp. E08C006. RNAcentral describes it as "bacterial SSU rRNA". It matches the Rfam family "Bacterial small subunit ribosomal RNA", at positions 95 to 526 of the family's 1533-position model. The record is from RNAcentral. Lineage: Bacteria; Bacillati; Bacillota; Bacilli; Caryophanales; Anoxybacillaceae. RNAcentral also lists the same sequence under 2 other names.
GCGGCGGACGGGUGAGUAACACGUGGGCAACCUGCCCGCAAGACCGGGAUAACUCCGGGAAACCGGAGCUAAUACCGGAUAACACCAAAGACCGCAUGGUCUUUGGUUGAAAGGCGGCUUCGGCUGUCACUUGCGGAUGGGCCCGCGGCGCAUUAGCUAGUUGGUGAGGUAACGGCUCACCAAGGCGACGAUGCGUAGCCGGCCUGAGAGGGUGACCGGCCACACUGGGACUGAGACACGGCCCAGACUCCUACGGGAGGCAGCAGUAGGGAAUCUUCCGCAAUGGACGAAAGUCUGACGGAGCGACGCCGCGUGAGCGAAGAAGGCCUUCGGGUCGUAAAGCUCUGUUGUGAGGGACGAAGGAGCGCCGUUUGAAUAAGGCGGCGCGGUGACGGUACCUCACGAGAAAGCCCCGGCUAACUACGUGCCAGCAGCCGCGGUAAUAC